GAACUGAAGAGUUUGAUCAUGGCUCAGAUUGAACGCUGGCGGCAGGCCUAACACAUGCAAGUCGAGCGGAUGAAG
RNAcentral lists this ribosomal RNA (75 nucleotides) under Pseudomonas aeruginosa. Its description in RNAcentral is "partial 16S ribosomal RNA". It matches the Rfam family "Bacterial small subunit ribosomal RNA", at positions 1 to 75 of the family's 1533-position model. RNAcentral also lists the same sequence under 1 other name. Lineage: Bacteria; Pseudomonadati; Pseudomonadota; Gammaproteobacteria; Pseudomonadales; Pseudomonadaceae. The record is from RNAcentral.